Molecule: long non-coding RNA, 657 nt
Organism: Biomphalaria glabrata
Lineage: Eukaryota; Metazoa; Mollusca; Gastropoda; Planorbidae
Exons: 4
Source: RefSeq, a predicted model, not a curated record
AGUUAUCUGUGGAUGAAUAGCUCAAUGAAAUUAGACACUUUAUUGGUUUAUCUUGACGUUUAUCUUACGCAGACUUCUAUAAACAUGAUGUUGAUUUUGGUGUUGUCUUGCUGCUUAGUGUUGACUUAUGCUGAUGCAGUUCAACGAGACGAUAACGAAAUAAACUUGAAAACUCGCAUGCAAAUUUUUAUAAAAUUAGUUCCUGCAAAUCAAGACGGUUACUUGGAGAAAAGAAGGCAGUUAUCAACAAGGGAUAGCUCAUUAAAUCCUGAAAAUUCUGAUAAAAAUCUCUAGAUUAAAUGACUUUGUUUCAAUACAAGAUAAUUGCACCGUCUCGUAUCUAUGUGUUUAUCUAAUUGAGCAUGUCAAGAGAGAGAGAGAGAGAAAUUAAAAACAUCGCCAGAGGACAACAGCUUUGUCUGCACGAGAUGAGAGAAAAUAUGUAGGUCUCAACUGGGUCUGCACUGCCUGCAUAGUCAUUUGAUUCACUACACGCAUCCUUAAUAUCGGGAAUAGAAGACUUGCUAUUAUCAUGUUAAAAUGAGUUGUAGACUGUACAUCCUAGCUGGUUCACACAAUCUAUUCCAUUCUCUCUUGACACUUCGUAAGACUCACUUGCACGAAUUUGUCUUAGCAUAUGGAAUAAGAAAUGUGAAU